CAAUAGACACAGAGUGGACAGGCU
This 24-nucleotide non-coding RNA is filed under the name Rattus norvegicus (Norway rat). Lineage: Eukaryota; Metazoa; Chordata; Mammalia; Rodentia; Muridae. The record is from RNAcentral.